RNAcentral lists this transfer RNA (87 nucleotides) under Chloroflexota bacterium. RNAcentral describes it as "Chloroflexi bacterium (hot springs metagenome) tRNA-Ser". It matches the Rfam family "tRNA". Rfam says of the family: Transfer RNA (tRNA) molecules are approximately 80 nucleotides in length. Their secondary structure includes four short double-helical elements and three loops (D, anti-codon, and T loops). Further hydrogen bonds mediate the characteristic L-shaped molecular structure. tRNAs have two regions of fundamental functional importance: the anti-codon, which is responsible for specific mRNA codon recognition, and the 3' end, to which the tRNAs corresponding amino acid is attached (by aminoacyl-tRNA synthetases). tRNAs cope with the degeneracy of the genetic code in two manners: having more than one tRNA (with a specific anti-codon) for a particular amino acid; and 'wobble' base-pairing, i.e. permitting non-standard base-pairing at the 3rd anti-codon position. The record is from RNAcentral. Lineage: Bacteria; Bacillati; Chloroflexota.
GGAGGGAUGGCCGAGUGGACGAUGGCGGCGGUCUUGAAAACCGCUGUGACCUUAUGGUCACCGGGGGUUCAAAUCCCUCUCCCUCCG